GUGGGGAAUAUUCCGCAAUGGACGAAAGUCUGACGGAGCAACGCCGCGUGAGUGAUGAAGGUUUUCGGACUGUAAAGCUCUGUUGUUUGGGACGAAAGUGCCUGUUGCGAACAGUUACGGGUAUUGACGGUACUAAACGAGGAAGCCACGGCUAACUACGUGCCAGCAGCCGCGGUAAUACGUAGGUGGCAAGCGUUGUCCGGAAUUAUUGGGCGUAAAGAGCAUGUAGGCGGGAAUCUAAGUCUGUUGUUAAAAUGCGGGGCUCAACCCCGUAAUGCGAUGGAAACUGGGUUUCUUGAGUGCAGGAGAGGAAAGGGGAAUUCCCAGUGUAGCGGUGAAAUGCGUAGAUAUUGGGAGGAACACCAGUGGCGAAGGCGCCUUUCUGGACUGUGUCUGACGCUGAGAUGCGAAAGCCAGGGUAGCGAACGGGAUUAGAUACCCUGGUAGUCC
RNAcentral lists this ribosomal RNA (450 nucleotides) under uncultured bacterium. Its description in RNAcentral is "partial 16S ribosomal RNA". It matches the Rfam family "Bacterial small subunit ribosomal RNA", at positions 354 to 796 of the family's 1533-position model. The record is from RNAcentral.